UCUUCCCUCUGGCGGCGUGCCUAACACAUGCAAGUCGAGCGAACAGACGAUGAGCUUGUGCCUUUGACGUUAGCGGCGGGCGGGUGAGUAACGCGUGUAUAACCUCCCUAUAUUUCGGGUAUAAUUUCGGGAAACCGGAUCUAAUACCAGAGGAUAUAUUGCACCGCGUGGUGCAAUGGAGAAUUUCGGCUUUUCUGUCUCGUAUAGAUGGUUCCGGGCCGCAUUGUCUGGUUGGUAAGGUACCGGCCUACCAAGGCAACGAUUCGUAGCCGAACUGGGAGGAUGAUAGGCCACACUGGAACUGGAACACGGACCAGACUCCUACGGGAGGGAGCAGUAGGGAAUGUUACGCAAUGGGCGAAAGCCUGGCGGAGCCACGCCGCGUGGGUGACGAAGGUCUUCGGAUCGUAAAGCUCUGUUAUUAGGGAAGAACAGCUGUGUAAGUAAAUGUGGCCGUCUUGACGGUACCUAAUCAGAAAGCAACGGCUAACUACGUG
Molecule: ribosomal RNA, 497 nt
Filed under: uncultured bacterium
Lineage: Bacteria
Description: partial 16S ribosomal RNA
Rfam family: Bacterial small subunit ribosomal RNA
Source: RNAcentral